Molecule: non-coding RNA, 69 nt
Organism: Fukomys damarensis (Damara mole-rat)
Lineage: Eukaryota; Metazoa; Chordata; Mammalia; Rodentia; Bathyergidae
Source: Ensembl
GUAAAAAUAGUUUAACAAAAACACUAGAUUGUGAAUCUAAAGACAGAGAUUUAAACUCUCCUUUUUACC